AGUGAACGCUGGCGGCGUGCUUAAUACAUGCAAGUCGAACGAUGAAGUCCUAGCUUUCUCGGAUGGAUUAGUGGCGCACGGGUGAGUAAUAUAUAGUUAAUCUGCCUUUCACUGAGGAACAACAGUUGGAAACGAUUGCUAAUACCUCAUACUCCAACUUUACAUAAGUUAAGUUGUGAAAGUCUUUUCGGUGCAAGAUGAGACUAUAUCGUAUCAGCUAGUUGGUAAGGUAAUGGCUUACCAAGGCUAUGACGCGUAACUGGUCUGAGAGGAUGAUCAGUCACAUUGGAACUGAGACACGGUCCAAACACCUACGGGAGGCAGCAGUAAGGAAUAUUGUGAAAUGGGGGAAACCCUGACGCAGCAACGCCGCGUGGAGGAUGACACUUUUCGGAGCGUAAACUCCUUUUGUUAGGGAAGAAUAAUGACGGUACCUAAUGAAUAAGCACCGGCUAACUCCGUG
Molecule: ribosomal RNA, 463 nt
Filed under: uncultured bacterium
Lineage: Bacteria
Description: partial 16S ribosomal RNA
Rfam family: Bacterial small subunit ribosomal RNA
Source: RNAcentral